UAGGGAAUCUUCGGCAAUGGACGAAAGUCUGACCGAGCAACGCCGCGUGAGUGAAGAAGGUUUUCGGAUCGUAAAACUCUGUUGUUAGAGAAGAACAAGGACGUUAGUAACUGAACGUCCCCUGACGGUAUCUAACCAGAAAGCCACGGCUAACUACAUGCCAGCAGCCGCGGUAAUACGUAGGUGGCAAGCGUUGUCCGGAUUUAUUGGGCGUAAAGCGAGCGCAGGCGGUUUCUUAAGUCUGAUGUGAAAGCCCCCGGCUCAACCGGGGAGGGUCAUUGGAAACUGGGAGACUUGAGUGCAGAAGAGGAGAGUGGAAUUCCAUGUGUAGCGGUGAAAUGCGUAGAUAUAUGGAGGAACACCAGUGGCGAAGGCGGCUCUCUGGUCUGUAACUGACGCUGAGGCUCGAAAGCGUGGGGGGCAAACAGG
RNAcentral lists this ribosomal RNA (429 nucleotides) under Gemmatimonadota bacterium. RNAcentral describes it as "Gemmatimonadetes bacterium partial 16S ribosomal RNA". It matches the Rfam family "Bacterial small subunit ribosomal RNA", at positions 355 to 776 of the family's 1533-position model. The record is from RNAcentral. Lineage: Bacteria; Pseudomonadati; Gemmatimonadota.